UAGGGAAUCUUCGGCAAUGGGGCGAACCCUCGACCGAGCAACGCCGCGUGAGUGAAGAAGGUUUUCGGAUCGUAAAGCUCUGUUGUAAGAGAAGAACGUGUGUGAGAGUGGAAGGUUCACACAGUGACGGUAACUUACCAGAAAGGGACGGCUAACUACGUGCCAC
RNAcentral lists this ribosomal RNA (166 nucleotides) under uncultured bacterium. Its description in RNAcentral is "partial 16S rRNA". It matches the Rfam family "Bacterial small subunit ribosomal RNA", at positions 355 to 511 of the family's 1533-position model. The record is from RNAcentral.